GGGUAGGGGUAAAGAUCUAUCGGAUAUAGCAUAUAUAAAGCAAUAAAAGCAUGCAGAGUCUACUAGCCGAUACGAUCUGAUAACUAUGAAUUUUUAAAUAGGGCAAGGGAGAUGAUGAGGACUACCUAACAAGAUUUAAGCCUCUCAAUAACUGUGAGUGCUUCGGAACAACCAAGGAGCUAAUAAAGAGAACCUAGAUAGAUCUAAGCAAACUCGAUAACUGUGAGCAUCGAAGACAAGCAGAAUAUUGAUAAAGCCUAGAAAGUUCUACAUGCAAUCUAAGAUAACUCAAUA
Molecule: long non-coding RNA, 294 nt
Filed under: Setaria viridis
Lineage: Eukaryota; Viridiplantae; Streptophyta; Magnoliopsida; Poales; Poaceae
Description: long non-coding RNA (SVIR_LNC001766)
Source: RNAcentral